RNAcentral lists this ribosomal RNA (665 nucleotides) under uncultured Rhizopogon. RNAcentral's name for it is "eukaryotic LSU rRNA". The stretch from base 231 to 385 matches the Rfam family "5.8S ribosomal RNA". Lineage: Eukaryota; Fungi; Basidiomycota; Agaricomycetes; Boletales; Rhizopogonaceae. The record is from RNAcentral.
AUCAUUAACGAAUAUAAUUCGAGGGGUUGUCGCUGGCCUCGCUCGCGCGAGGCAUGUGCACGCUUCUCGUUUUUCUCUCAACUCACCUGUGCACCUAAUGUAGGAUGCCUCUCCUCCGGGAGGGGGGACCUAUGUCUUCGUAACAUCUUCGUGUAGAAAGUCUUUGAAUGUUUACUAUCAUCGAGUCGCGACUUCUAGGAGACGCGGUUCUUUGAGAUAAAAGUUAUUACAACUUUCAGCAACGGAUCUCUUGGCUCUCGCAUCGAUGAAGAACGCAGCGAAAAGCGAUAUGUAAUGUGAAUUGCAGAUCUACAGUGAAUCAUCGAAUCUUUGAACGCACCUUGCGCUCCUCGGUGUUCCGAGGAGCAUGCCUGUUUGAGUGUCAGUAAAUUCUCAACCCCUCUCGAUUAGCUUCGAGAGGGCGCUUGGAUAGUGGAGGUUGCCGGAGACUUGGAUUCGUCCGAGACUCGGGCUCUUCUGAAAUGCAUCGGCUUGCGGUCGACUUUCGACUAUGUGCGACAAGGCUUUCGGCGUGAUAAUGAUCGCCGUUCGCUGAAGCGCAUGACUGAACGUCCCGUGCCUCUAAUACGUCGACCGCUUAUUAUCUCUCCGGAGAGAACAGGGUCUUCCUUAUUGACUUUUGACCUCAAAUCAGGUAGGACUAC